UGCAGAGGCCCUGGGCUGACAGAGGCCUGGAAUCCGGGUGAGGAUUUUCUCAUUCUACAAGAAUCUAAGUGAUGACGACUAAGAAUCAGAACCAAUCGGAAUGUGUAAAUACUCCCACCAUGGCUGAUUUCAAGCUACCAGUGUGACAUCACUGAACAUCACAAUACUAUUAUAUAGGAUUUCCACCACCGUUGAGACCACUAUAAACACUGAUGAAGCAGAUUUGAAAAAGAACCAAAUCAAUUUAUAAUAAUUGAAAUAAAAUAUUCAAUGGAUGACCAUGAAGAAAUAGACAAAUCCAGAAUGUGGAACA
Molecule: long non-coding RNA, 313 nt
Organism: Balaenoptera ricei (Rice's whale)
Lineage: Eukaryota; Metazoa; Chordata; Mammalia; Artiodactyla; Balaenopteridae
Exons: 3
Source: RefSeq, a predicted model, not a curated record